This is a non-coding RNA of Schistosoma rodhaini, 46 nucleotides long. The record is from Rfam. NCBI's taxonomy places the organism in Eukaryota, Metazoa, Platyhelminthes, Trematoda, Strigeidida, Schistosomatidae.
GCACUACUGAAGAGUCCCACAAUAGGACAAAACGGUUGUCCAGUGC